This 504-nucleotide long non-coding RNA is filed under the name Equus caballus (horse). RNAcentral describes it as "lncRNA (ENSECAG00000056084.1)". Lineage: Eukaryota; Metazoa; Chordata; Mammalia; Perissodactyla; Equidae. The record is from RNAcentral.
CUGAAAAUAAGACCAGAAAUGGACAUUCACAGAAACUUUCUCCAUGGCCGACUUGGUGGCGUCCCUCCUCACCUCAGCCGUAGAGAAAAUCUUCCACAAGCUCCCACUAAACACACACACACGCCGCCAACUCACAGUCUUAAAGAAAACUGAGAAUCCCCCUAUCUCAGUAAAACCGGCUCAGGGGCUGGUGAGCACACCUGAACCCAGGGGACAGAAGGACAGCAGGGACGCUGCUCCGGGCCCCCAGGACGGGGCCCCAGCAACCGCUGUGCUCUCCAAGGUGUUUUCUCACCCAAAUAUGCUGAGGACGGACGGGACAGGGCCACACAGCCGGAUCUUGAACUCAACCACAGUACACAGACACGGGUCCUUGCACAAGUAGGGAGCCAGUCACUUGGGAGGAUGUCAGGAGCAGAUGCUCUGGAAUGCCGGUACUUCCACUUCUGCACCACACCGCCAGGCCACCCACCCAGAGCCAGAGGAGGCCACAGCACACCCACC